RNAcentral lists this ribosomal RNA (479 nucleotides) under uncultured Verrucomicrobiota bacterium. Its description in RNAcentral is "bacterial SSU rRNA". It matches the Rfam family "Bacterial small subunit ribosomal RNA", at positions 355 to 829 of the family's 1533-position model. Lineage: Bacteria; Pseudomonadati; Verrucomicrobiota. The record is from RNAcentral.
UCGAGAAUUUUUCACAAUGGGCGAAAGCCUGAUGGAGCGACGCCGCGUGGGGGAUGAAUGGCUUCGGCCCGUAAACCCCUGUCAUGCGCGAGCAAGAUAAAUGGCCGAAUACGUCGUUUAUUGAUAGUAGCGCAAGAGGAAGGGACGGCUAACUCUGUGCCAGCAGCCGCGGUAAUACAGAGGUCCCAAGCGUUGUUCGGAUUCACUGGGCGUAAAGGGUGCGUAGGUGGUCGGGUAAGUUCCAUGUGAAUGCCACGGCUUAACCGUGGAACGGCAUGGGAUACUAUCCGGCUAGAGGGUUGGAGGGGGGACUGGAAUUCUCGGUGUAGCAGUGAAAUGCGUAGAUAUCGAGAGGAACACCUGUGGCGAAGGCGGGUCCCUGGACAAUUCCUGACACUGAGGCACGAAGCUAGGGGAGCAAACAGGAUUAGAUACCCUGGUAGUCCUAGCCUUAAACGGUGCACGUUUGCUGUGAGAGG